RNAcentral lists this ribosomal RNA (497 nucleotides) under uncultured bacterium. RNAcentral describes it as "partial 16S ribosomal RNA". It matches the Rfam family "Bacterial small subunit ribosomal RNA", at positions 28 to 507 of the family's 1533-position model. The record is from RNAcentral.
GAUGAACGCUGGCGGCGUGCCUAAUACAUGCAAGUCGAGCGAACGGACGAGAAGCUUGCUUCCCUGAUGUUAGCGGCGGACGGGUGAGUAACACGUGGAUAACCUACCUAUAAGACUGGGAUAACUUCGGGAAACCGGAGCUAAUACCGGAUAAUAUUUUGAACCGCAUGGUUCAAAAGUGAAAGACGGUCUUGCUGUCACUUAUAGAUUGAUCCGCGCUGCAUUAGCUAGUUGGUAAGGUAACGGCUUACCAAGGCAACGAUGCAUAGCCGACCUGAGAGGGUGAUCGGCCACACUGGAACUGAGACACGGUCCAGACUCCUACGGGAGGCAGCAGUAGGGAAUCUUCCGCAAUGGGCGAAAGCCUGACGGAGCAACGCCGCGUGAGUGAUGAAGGUCUUCGGAUCGUAAAACUCUGUUAUUAGGGAAGAACAUAUGUGUAAGUAACUGUGCACAUCUUGACGGUACCUAAUCAGAAAGCCACGGCUAACUACGUG